AGCCUUAAUCUCCUAUCCCUACCUCCCCGUGGUGCCGCCUGGGAUACGAGUAACCGUAGGGAACCAACCAUGGUGGGACCUUGGUCGUAUGCUGACAGGGAAGG
This 104-nucleotide ribozyme is filed under the name Aedes aegypti (yellow fever mosquito). Its description in RNAcentral is "drz-agam-1 ribozyme". It matches the Rfam family "drz-agam-1 ribozyme". Lineage: Eukaryota; Metazoa; Arthropoda; Insecta; Diptera; Culicidae. The record is from Rfam by way of RNAcentral.